GGACGUGAUGUUAUCUCGAGUAGUGGUAUUUGCUGACGACGAAUGAGGCCAGAGUCUGUUUCUGAUC
This 67-nucleotide small nucleolar RNA is filed under the name Euglena gracilis. RNAcentral describes it as "Eg-m177 box C/D methylation-guide". The record is from RNAcentral. Lineage: Eukaryota; Euglenozoa; Euglenophyceae; Euglenales; Euglenaceae.